Molecule: unclassified non-coding RNA, 125 nt
Organism: Marmota marmota marmota (Alpine marmot)
Lineage: Eukaryota; Metazoa; Chordata; Mammalia; Rodentia; Sciuridae
Source: Ensembl
CACCGUUUCAGUGGCAUUUAAAUCCCCGGCGCUCCUCUAUCUAGGUGACGCGCAGCAGCCCCCCCAGGCAGCCCAGGCGGCGGCAGCAGCUGCAGCGGCUGCAACGACAGAUUCCGAGCGCUGGG